RNAcentral lists this ribosomal RNA (460 nucleotides) under uncultured bacterium. Its description in RNAcentral is "partial 16S ribosomal RNA". It matches the Rfam family "Bacterial small subunit ribosomal RNA", at positions 338 to 795 of the family's 1533-position model. The record is from RNAcentral.
CCUACGGGGGGCAGCAGUGAGGAAUAUUGGUCAAUGGACGGAAGUCUGAACCAGCCAUGCCGCGUGCAGGAAGACGGCUCUAUGAGUUGUAAACUGCUUUUGUACAAGGGUAAACCUGAAUACGUGUAUUCAGCUGAAAGUACUGUACGAAUAAGGAUCGGCUAACUCCGUGCCAGCAGCCGCGGUAAUACGGAGGAUCCAAGCGUUAUCCGGAUUUAUUGGGUUGAAAGGGUGCGUAGGCGGAUUGAUAAGUUAGAGGUGAAAUGUCCGAGCUUAACUCGGGAACUGCCUCUAAUACUGGUGAUCUAGAGAGUAGAUGCGGUAGGCGGAAUGUAGGGUGUAGCGGUGAAAUGCAUAGAUAUCACGCAGAACCCCGAUUGCGAAGGCAGCCUUCCGGCGCCCUACUGACGCUGAGGCACGAAAGUGCGGGGAUCGAACAGGAUUAGAUACCCUUGUAGUC